Molecule: long non-coding RNA, 533 nt
Filed under: Brachypodium distachyon (stiff brome)
Lineage: Eukaryota; Viridiplantae; Streptophyta; Magnoliopsida; Poales; Poaceae
Description: long non-coding RNA (BDIS_LNC005840)
Source: RNAcentral
UCAGCAAUCAGCAGUAGCAUUCAGCAGCAGAAUUCACAGCAUCCAGCAGCAUAAACAACAGAAUAAACAACAACAUACAACAUUAGAAUAAACAACAUUCAGCAGCAUAAUCAGCGUAAUCGGCAUGCAUGUGGGUCUGGCGUAGGGCUUGGCAUCUGCGAUGUACUCGGGGUCGGGGUGAACACCUCGUGAUUUCUGAUGUCAUAAGGCUCCGGCGAUGGACCUGGCGUCGGCGUCGGAGUCGCAGUCGUGUGGUCACUCUUGCCGCCGCCGGAGUCGGAGCCUUCGAAAUCGAUGUCCAUCUCGAGCUGGAGGAGGCCGCGGACGGGCGGCUAGCGAGUCAGUGUGGCGGAGUAGGCGGGUGCGCGGCCGGCGUACUGGUGGAGGAGGAGGCGUCGAUGAGGGCAGGAAGUAGGAAACGGCUCGGGGAGAAAGCAGGGCUGCUAGGUGGCGACUCGGGGAAGAAGCAGGGCUGCUAGGCUGCUGCUCGGGGAGGAAGCAGGCGGCGUCGUGGUGGACUGGACAUGGGAAAU